UAUGCACAUUCUCCUCAGUACGAAAGGACCAGGAAAAUAGGACCAAUAUCCUCAACAAGUCCUCCACCAUAUGAAACAAUAUUAAUCCUAUAGUACCCCAUCACCCAAGAACAGGAC
This 117-nucleotide ribosomal RNA is filed under the name Varanus mertensi. RNAcentral's name for it is "partial 16S ribosomal RNA". Lineage: Eukaryota; Metazoa; Chordata; Lepidosauria; Squamata; Varanidae. The record is from RNAcentral.